Molecule: ribosomal RNA, 467 nt
Filed under: Suhomyces vadensis
Lineage: Eukaryota; Fungi; Ascomycota; Pichiomycetes; Serinales; Debaryomycetaceae
Description: eukaryotic LSU rRNA
Rfam family: 5.8S ribosomal RNA (bases 146-298)
Source: RNAcentral
CUGCGGGAAGGAUCACUGAAUAUGAUUUGAUACGUACAAAAUAUCAUUUAACACAUACUUGAAUUUGAAUACAGCUUUGGCGGCAUGCCGUCAAGGAUUCUAACUAAACCAAUAUAACUUGUCACACCACAACAUAAUAAAUUAAAACUUUCAACAACGGAUCUCUUGGUUCUCGCAUCGAUGAAGAACGCAGCGAAAUGCGAUAAGUAAUAUGAAUUGCAGACUUUGUGAAUCAUCGAAUUUUUGAACGCACAUUGCGCCUUGUGGUAUUCCACAAGGCAUGCCUGUUUGAGCGUCAUCCACCCUCAAACCCUCGGGUUUGGCAGUGAGUGCACGAAACCUUUGUUUACUCGAAAUACCACGCUAAGCAUGUCUAGGAUUACCCACUCAUGUGUUAACGCGACGAAUUCAACUAAACUGACCUCAAAUCAGGUAGGACUACCCGCUGACUAAGCAUAUCAAUAAGC